Long non-coding RNA from Monodelphis domestica (gray short-tailed opossum), 3027 nucleotides. RefSeq lists it as uncharacterized. NCBI's taxonomy places the organism in Eukaryota, Metazoa, Chordata, Mammalia, Didelphimorphia, Didelphidae. The record is from RefSeq and is a predicted model, not a curated record.
CUGCGAGAGACGAGCUUCGCCCUGUCUGAGCUGGACACCCCAGGCCUCCUCAGGUCCCGGAGUUUCCCACGUGAGGCCUCUGAAUCACCUUUUCCCUUUUCUGGGGACCUUGGGGGAACGCUGACUCCCCCCCUCCCCAUCCUUCCCCUACCGGGCUAAAACUCCCAGGCUGCGCCCCCUAGCUCGCGCCUCGCUUUCUCCUCCUGGGGCAGAUUCGAGGACGUGGCUGCAGCCCCCCCCCCCCCCACACACACACACAUACACGGCCAGGCCGGUUGUCGCAGCACCUGGAGCCUUGACCUCGCCCUCUGGGGAGGCGAACCACCCGGUGGCGCGGCGCGGCCCCCAGACGCUUUCACCCGCGCCCGCACCUAGGGUCCUUCCGGACUUAAAAGGGAGGGCGUGGGAGGGAAGCAGAAAGGUCUACGUAGCUGCUGAGGACCUUGGGGCACCGCACCGAAGAGAUGGCGGGAUUGGGGAAGGUGGUAGAAAUGGACAAAUCCAGGCCCCCUGCAGCGAUUCCUCUCCUCCAUCCGGUGCUAAUCUGAGCGACUGAGGUGACAGAGGUGGGGGGGAGGCGGAGCCGGGGGCUGUGCCUCGGAAUACACUCCAGGAAAUCGAUCUUUAUCUGCCUUCGGUGAACUGGUCGAUCUGGGCUGGGAGGGGCACAUCCACCCUCAGGGCGGCCACUUGGUGUGGAGCUCUCAGGCUGGGGCCUCGACGAAAUAAAAAAAUUACAAAAUGACAUUCUCCCUGUUCCCUCACUCUGGGCACUCAAUUUCCCGACUCUGGGUCUUUGCGCCGGCCGCCCUCAAGCCCCAACGCCUCACUCCAUCGCUUCCUUCAAAGCUCGGUUCAAAUCCCAGCUUCAGCCAGGACUUUGCUCUGCCCUCAUUCCCAGUUGAUGAGUGUUUUCUCUGAAACGACGUCCUUCCAUAAUCUUAAUGGAGGUUUCGGCUGCAAAAAAAUCCAAUACUUAACAAAGGUCAACUGAGGCACUACUGAUGUACCAGUGAGCAAUCUUCCUAGCAGAAAAGCUCCUUCCCGAAUGAAGGCAUGGCAAGCUGAGCAGUGCAUCCCAGUGAAGAGAUUAAUCGGCCAGUUGUUGCCUCACAAACAAUCUUUCUUAAUGGAUGAUGCCCCCCAAAAGUGGCACAGAUUUGAUAGAAUGUAGGAUUUGUGCUGUCUGUCCGGUGUACUCUCCAUCAUUUCCUGUGAUGGCCCCACUGGACAUCUGCAUGUUGAUUUCAUCUGCAUGCCCAAGUCUGGUUAAGGACACACCAGUGGGGUAAAUUAUUGCACAUAAAUGAGGCAUGAAAAGGAGGCACAGUGGAGGGGAAGAUGGGGGAUGUGGAGAGAAGAGCAGGGCAUCUUACUCUCAUCAAAAUUGGCUCAAGGAGGGAAGAAUAUCCACAAUCCAUUGGGUAUUGAAAGCCCUCUUACCCUACAGGCAAGUAGAAGAAGUGGCCAAGAGAAAGGGGAUGGGGCUGAUGGAAAAGAGGACAAAUUGGGGGAAGCUGAGGCCAGAAACUAAGGUUCAAAUAGGAUGUAAAGUCUUACAUAGGAAUCAUAAUGGUGCAAAAAGCUUUUACAAAUCUCUCUGAUAAAGACCUCAUUUCUCAAAUAUAUAGAGAAAUGAGUUGAAUGUAUAAGAAUACAAUCCACUCCCCAAUUGCUAAUUUUGCGUGUUGCUCAAGGUUAGGACCCUCUGUGCUGCCUCUGGGACCAUUUUGCCCUGGUGCGUGCACACCCUCUCCCUGUGCUGUGAUGUUCUGCACAGCCACUCCUGGAUGGAUCCCAUCCCUUGUGCCUUCCAUAGAGUUAUUGUCUGUCUCCCUAUACUGGCCUGGGCUAGAAGAAUGAUUUGUGCUUUUUAACCCUAGAUUUCUUAUCCAGGAUUUGGUCAGAUCUAUUCUCCAGUUCUCAACUAAACUAGGUUAAUCUCAAUUAAAGCUCUCUAUAGUCAUGCAAAAAUUCUCUAAAUUACUAUUAAUUAGAGAAAUGCACAUGAAAAUAACCCUGAGGUCCCAGCCAAUGCCUAUCACAUUGACUUAUGACAGAAAAGGAAAAUGACAAAACUUGAAGGGAAUAUAGGAAAGCUGGGACACAAAUUGUUGGAGAGUUGUGAACUGAUUUAUAUUCAAGAGAGCAAUUUGAACCUAUGCCCAAUGGGCUAUAAAACAUAACUUUUGGCCCAACAAAACCAUUACUAGUACCCCCCCAAAUUAAAAAGGUUUAAAAAAAGAGAAACUGAGGCAGACUAGGGCUGCAUAUGAGCAGAUAGAAUUAGAUGCUUCAAAUUCUUCUAUCUAUGAGACCUCCAAACCACAGGGUCUCAACUGCUAGCUGUGAUGACAUCCAGAGCUGGCUUAGGGACCCAGAAGUCCCCAGAUCCCAGCUGUCUUUGAGAAGACAACCCUCUUUUUUAAGUAACUCACUCCCUUCUCACUUUCCCUCCUGAAAGGGCAAAGAUUUGGAAAGUGAGGCAUUACCCAUCAAAUGGGGAUGGCUGAGUAAGUUAGAGUAUAUGAUUGUAAUGGAAUACUAUUGUGCUUUAAGAAAUGACAAGUAGGAGAACUUGGACCUGGAAAACCUUACAAGUGAAGUGAAGAAAGCAGAACCAAGAGAACAUUGUACUCAGUGACAAGAACACUUUACGAUGAACAACUGUGAAUAAUAGCUCUUCUCAGAAACACAGUGACCCAAAACUAUACCAAUGGACUCAUGAUUUUAAAAAAAGUCUGUGUAUUUUCAUAGAAAAAGAAGAGUCUGAAUCCAGACCAAAGAAAACUUUUUUCCCUUUCUUAAUAUUUUUUUAUUUAAGUUUCUUUCCACAAAAGAAUUAAUAUUGAAAAAUGUUUUACAUGAUUGCACAUGUAAAAUCUAUGAGAUUGCUUACCAUCUCUAGGGGUGGGAGUAGGGGUUGGAGGGGAUAGAGGGAGGGAGAGAAUCUGAGACUCACUAUUCUUUGAAAAAUGUGAGAAACUGGUUUUUUUUACAUGUAACUGGGGGAAAAUAAAAUUUAAA